Cottoperca gobio is the source of this 3324-nucleotide long non-coding RNA. The record is from Ensembl. NCBI's taxonomy places the organism in Eukaryota, Metazoa, Chordata, Actinopteri, Perciformes, Bovichtidae.
UGUUACCUGCAGCUCACACCAGGCCACCUCCACGGACGUCUCCGUGUCGAGCGCUCUGUAAACCGACUUGAAGGAUCCUCGUCCGAUCUCGAUGUUGAACUUCAGGAAGCGUCCGUCCGGAGACGAGUCCAUGGCCUGCGUCUCCUCCUCGUCGCGCUCCUACCUUACUCGGUUUCCAUGGAAACGAAGCCGCCGUCUCUUCCCCCGAGUCCGAGCUGACCGGAUUGGUCAGAGGGUUCGCGGCGUCUGAUUGGACGGCGGGGGUCGUCAUGGUUACAGGAGGAGGAAGAAUUUACUCUUCUUCUUCAGGUCUCUUCUUGGUUGGCUCGCUGGGCAGCGUACUCCUCGUGGCCUCGGCGCCAACGGUUCGAGCCCCUCGCUGUGAUGUCACAGGAGUGGGAGGAGCCAGCGGACGGUGUUUGAACUGCAGUUGGACACACGAAAAUUAUUUUACACGUUUCUUUUAAUUAUUUUAAAAAUGUUUUAUUCUUUAUUCUUAUUUAAAUUGAAUUUGUUUAUAUUUUCUGCAGCUCCUCCUCAUGUAAUAAGAAUAAAAAUACAUUAAAUAAAUAAUACUCAUGAUAAUAAUAAUAAUAAUAAUAAUAAUAAUAAUAAUAAUAAUAAUAACUAUUAAUAACUAAUUUACUGUAUUGACAUUCAAAAACAUUUAAAUCAAAUGUUAAAUUAUAAUACAUUAUAUUAUACUAUAUUAUAGUAAAUUGUAAAAUGUAUUAUUACAUUAUAUAAUAAUAAUAUUAUAAUAAUAUAAUAUUACAUUACAUUAUUAUUAUUAAUAUAUAUAUUACAGGGUCACCGGCAGUCCUCUUUUCUCCUUGUCCUUCUUCUUCAUAAUUCUUCUCCUUCUCCGUCUUCUCCUUCUUCUCCUUUUCCUUCUUCUUCUCCUUCUUUUUCUUCUUUUCCGUCUCCUUCUUCUCCUUUUCCUUCUUCUCCUUCUCAUUCUUCUUCUCCUUCUUCUUCUCCUUCUUCUCCUUCUUUCCGUCUCCUUCUCCUUUUCCUUCUUCUUCUCCUUUUCCUUCUUCUCCGUCUCCUUUUCCUUCUCCUCCUUCUUCUCCUUCUUCUCCUUCUUUCCGUCUUCUCCUUCUCCUUUUCCUUCUCCUUUUCCGUCUCCUUCUCCUCCUUCUUUUCCGUCUCCUUCUUCUCCUUCUCCUCCUUCUUUUCCGUCUCCUCCUUCUUUUCCAUCUUCUUCUUCUCCUUCUUCUCCUCCUCCUUCUCCUUCUUCUCCUUUUCCUUCUUUUCCGUCUUCUUCUCCUUCUCCUCCUCCUUCUUCUCCUUCUUUUCCGUCUUCUCCUUCUCCGUCUUCUCCUUCUCCUUCUUUUUCUUCUCCUUCUUCUCCUUUUCCUUCUUCUUUUCCGUCUCCUUCUUCUCCUUCUCAUUCUUCUUCUCCUUCUCCUCCUUCUUUUCCGUCUUCUUCUUCUCCUUCUUUUCCGUCUUCUUCUUCUCCUCCUUCUUUUCCAUCUUCUUCUCCUUCUCCUCCUUCUUUUCCAUCUUCUUCUUCUCCUUCUCCUUCUUUUCCGUCUUCUUCUCCUCCUUCUCCUCCUUCUUUUCCGUCUUCUUCUUCUUCUCCUUCUUUUUCUCCUUCUUUUCCGUCUUCUUCUUCUCCUUCUCCUUUUCCAUCUUCUUCUUCUCCUUCUCCUCCUCCUCCUCCUCCUCCUUUUUCUUCUUCUUCUUCUCCUUCUUUUUCUUCUUCUCGCCCAGCAGUGUUCGUCUGCGUUGAAGCAGCAAAGACUGCUGUCAAUUAUUACAAGAAAGAACGGACAACAAUCGAUCGUCAAGGAUACUUGUGAAGCGAUGUGUUGUGUGGGGCCGUCUCCAGCUUUCUGUGGCCAAAAGAGGAUAAAAUGUUGCGUUUAUGGACAAGACAAGUGCGUCGAUGAAACCAAUGAUUUGUGCACUUUGAGAGAUCGUGUUUCCAACAAACUGCUCGCCAAGGAAAUGAGAUUCAAAAAAGAAACUCAUAAUCGGUCUAGACCUACUGUAUGUCACGAGUUUACACCAGGCCCUUAAAUUAAAUGAACUACACAAACAUGUGGGUAGGCUAUAUAAGGAGAUAUACAAACAUGUAGGCCGAUAUGAAAGGCUUCAAUCCUUCUCCCAGCACAGGAACAUUAAUCAUCUCCAAGUUGCUGACCCAGAGUGCCCUCUACAUCCGCAUGUUCCAGAGAGUUAAGGAACGGGCCCCAUACUUUUUAAAUAGUUCUUGUUUUCCUUUAAUUGAAUAGGUUAUGUUCUCUAAUGAGACACAUGCAGACAUUUCUUUUAGCCAUUUACCAAUACUUGUUUACAUUUCUCCAUGAAAGUGCUAUCAUACGUGUUGCCUGUAGCAGACAGAGAUUUAAAAAGAUUUGUUCUUUCUUCCUUAUGUUGUGUUCUUGUGGGUAACACCCUAACACAAGAAGCCUGGGCUCCAUGCUUAACUGCAAUGAUAGAAUCUCUUCUAUCAUACAUUUAACCUCCUCCCAAAACGUUCUUAUCUUGGUACACUCCCAAACACAAUGGAAGAACGUUCCCUUGGAUUGUCCACAUUUAAAACAUAAGUCUGGGAUAUUACCAUUAAACUUGUUUAGCUUGUCUGGAGUAAUAUAUGUACGCAUUAGCCAGUUAUAUUGUAAGAGCUUAAGACGGGUAUUCGCUGUUUGUGAUUGUGCUUUCUUGCAGGCACCUUCCCACUCAUCAAUUGAAAGGUCUUCUUGCAAAUCCUCCAAUUUCUAAGUUUCCCUUCGGAGGACUCGGGGGACGCAGAUAUAAGCAAGUUAUAAAGUGCAGAAAUUAAGUGUUUCCCCCCUACAGUCCUUUAAUAUUGUGUUCUCUAGUGGUGAGUAUGGAGGUAUAGAUCAUAACUGUUUUUGGUUUGCUCCAAUAAAGCUUCUAAUUUGUAAAGAUUUGUAAAAAUGUUUCUGUGGAAUGUUGUGUUGACUUGCAAGCUCCUCAAACGCCAUCAGUUCAUCAUCAUUGAGCCGAUAUAGAUCCUGAACUCUCUGUACACCCUUAUCUGAGCAAACCUUAAACCCACUAUCAGCUCUGCCUGGAGUGAAGUCAUCAUUUCCCCAAACUGGACUAAAGCGUGAGAGAAAGGGGCCCGAGUACUUCCUCACUUCAUGCUCUAAUCAUGUUCCUAGUAAUAGGGUUAGUGUUUCUUUGUACGUUUCUUCAGACGAGUACAAACACAUGGGAAGAGGUAGCUCUAAACAUUGGGACUCCAUCUCUCUCCAGGCAGGGAGGUUGUUGUUUGCAAAAUAAAACAUCGUAGUCCUUAACUGAGUUGCCCAGUAGUACCAGAGAGGAUUAGGACACGCAAGGCCCCCC